GUCGUGCCUAUACUGCACGUCGAACCAACUCUGGUAUUGAUUGGUGCUUAAUCAUGAUUUACAUUUGAGUGAGUGGCGAACUGGUGAGUAACACGUGGGAAACCUGCCCAGAAGCGGGGGAUAACACCUGGAAACAGAUGCUAAUACCGCAUAACAACUUGGACCGCAUGGUCCGAGCUUGAAAGAUGGCUUCGGCUAUCACUUUUGGAUGGUCCCGCGGCGUAUUAGCUAGAUGGUGGGGUAACGGCUCACCAUGGCAAUGAUACGUAGCCGACCUGAGAGGGUAAUCGGCCACAUUGGGACUGAGACACGGCCCAAACUCCUACGGGAGGCAGCAGUAGGGAAUCUUCCACAAUGGACGAAAGUCUGAUGGAGCAACGCCGCGUGAGUGAAGAAGGGUUUCGGCUCGUAAAACUCUGUUGUUAAAGAAGAACAUAUCUGAGAGUAACUGUUCAGGUAUUGACGGUAUUUAACCAGAAAGCCACGGCUAACUACGUGCCAGCAGCCGCGGUAAUACGUAGGUGGCAAGCGUUGUCCGGAUUUAUUGGGCGUAAAGCGAGCGCAGGCGGUUUUUUAAGUCUGAUGUGAAAGCCUUCGGCUCAACCGAAGAAGUGCAUCGGAAACUGGGAAACUUGAGUGCAGAAGAGGACAGUGGAACUCCAUGUGUAGCGGUGAAAUGCGUAGAUAUAUGGAAGAACACCAGUGGCGAAGGCGGCUGUCUGGUCUGUAACUGACGCUGAGGCUCGAAAG
This 750-nucleotide ribosomal RNA is filed under the name Lactiplantibacillus plantarum. RNAcentral's name for it is "bacterial SSU rRNA". It matches the Rfam family "Bacterial small subunit ribosomal RNA", at positions 41 to 759 of the family's 1533-position model. Lineage: Bacteria; Bacillati; Bacillota; Bacilli; Lactobacillales; Lactobacillaceae. The record is from RNAcentral.